Long non-coding RNA from Cyclopterus lumpus (lumpfish), 2119 nucleotides. RefSeq lists it as uncharacterized. Lineage: Eukaryota; Metazoa; Chordata; Actinopteri; Perciformes; Cyclopteridae. The record is from RefSeq and is a predicted model, not a curated record. The transcript has 2 exons.
AUCACUGUAAGCAACGCAGAGAGAGCCGUGUGUGUGUGUGUGAAUAACAUGUAGCCCCUCGCCCCGUGACGUUAAUCAAUGGAGGACGCCGGUUGACAACCCGGUACUCAUUAGAUGGAUCAGGCCUACUGGCUCAUCGAGUAAAAAAGGUGAUUCAGGCAGAUCGAGCCCCUUGAAGUUUCCACGCUUCUCUACAUCCUCCCCUCCUCCCGACAGAAGCUGCACUCCAGGCCUCCGCCCUUCCUUUGUUCGGAUCCCUGACGAAGAUGGGAGCAACAGGACGGGCAGAAAGACGUGGACCUGGCGUAUCAGUUGCCCCCCCCCUCCCUCCCUAAUCAGGCUCGAGUGCUCCUGGCGAGAUGCACUCGGGCCUUGGCCCUUCAGCAGGGAGAGACUGGAGGUCACCGCAGCCCAGGAGCUAUAAACAGCUCGUAGGGCCGACGAGGACAAAACGGCCCUCUAGGAGUUAUCAGUGGAGUUCUCAUUGCUGGCCGAACUCGAGGACUGAGGAGUCGAGGAAGAUGAGGAGGCGGAAGAAGAGGAAGAGGAGGUAAAGUUCAUCCCUGAUAGAUCUGGAGGGUUCGUUGCCGUGUUCUGUCCACACAAGCUUUUCCUGCACACUGGACACGUGUCAUGCUGGAGAGAAAGAGAGAGAGGUAAAAAUAAAAGGUGCCUUUUGUUUUGGACUUUAAGUAGGGGGAGCAUUAGGAUGUUGAAUACCUGUUCCAGCCAGGGGACUAUGCAAUCAUUGUGGAACAUGUGAUUGCACGGGAGCUGCCUCACGUUUUCUCCGACGCUGUAAUCUUCUUUACACACUGGACAUUCCAGUCCUGAAGCUGAAAGACAGAGCCGGUUAGAAACGGGAGAGGAAAUAUUAAGCACGAUCCGUCAAGCUGUGAGGGUUAUAACUAGUUCAAUUACAUUAUGAACCAUCAAUGUUAUUUAGAAAUUCAGUCAUAAAUAGGCACAGUAAAGUUUCAAGUGAGACGGGAUACUGAAUAUGAUCUGAUGUAUAAUCCGAAUAUGAAAAAGAUGUCUUCUACCAAUUCUCAGACAAUGAUUUUAAUAUGACUAAAGAUGCAUCUUGUAGUCGAUUAUCAAAUAAGUGCACUGUUUGAGUUAUGUGUCAGUAGCAUAUGUUUUAUUACACAAUUAUGCAUUUGAGCGCUCGUGAAUUAUUAACAACUUGAGUCUCUGGUGAGAUGCUUCAAAAGAAACAUUCAUGUUAAAAACUAAAGCCCAAUACUUGCAUUCAAUUUUAACUUGCAAUAUGACAGCAUGCAAGCAUCCCUUUUAAAAGAAAUCUAUACCGCUGUCCAAAUUUGCAAAAAAUAAAAACAUAAAACAUUCAGUUACACUUUAUUAUGUUUUAACUUACCAACGUGCUCCUCUGUAAUUUGUACUGUAGGAAGAGUUUUUAUUUUAUCCCUAUCGGCGGGCGGAGGUCCCGUGUUCUCAAACUGGUUUAAUAGCUAAAUACGAGAGAAGAAGAUAGAAAAGAAAUGCAUGUUUGGAUACAUAUACUGCAUAUGUUAUGACACAACUAAAACGUUUAACGGAUUUAAAUUACAACCAACAUUAUUGAAUAAGCACAGCAAUCACUUUAAAAAAAGGUUUAAUUUUAAAAUACCUGAGUUAUAAUUGCAUCUAGUCCAUUAGCCCCCCAGGCAUAAUCCAUAGGAUUUGAGUGAAGAACACCCCUUUAAGAAAAAAAGUCAAACAUUAGAGCAACCGAGACAGAUGAAGACUUAUUUUCUGGUUAAAUAUAAAGUGGGUUUCAGACACUCACCAGGGUCCAACACCAAUAUUUGGCAUUGCAGUGGGUGCAAUUAUUCCAUUCACUAGUUGCUGGAUGAUUCUAUAAAAAGAGAAGAUACAGAUUUGUUGAUAGAGAAAUGAGAAAUAUGUGAAAGAACUGCACCGCUACUAAAGGAUAACAUGUCUUGUUCAACCUGGACCCUAUAUGCCCAUGUUUUUGUAUCGAAGUAACCAAUUUAUUUCUCCAGUUUUGAGCAGCCGCGACACAGCCACCGACAGGCUCAGAUUGUUAUUAUUAUUAUUAUAAGUGUAUGACAGUGUAUGGAAAGGACCCUCCAGAGAAAUAAAAAAGGCAUUCUUA